AUGGAAUUUUACAAUCAAAGGUGGGUGGUUGGUGGCCCAAACUCAGGAAAGAGAGUCUUGAGAAUUUCUGGGUUAAUUUCAUCUGUGUGUGUAUCCCUCAAUCACCAUUCUUUUUCUAAGGGAACUGUGAUGGCAAGCAAGAAAUGCUGUUGUGGAGCUGUAAGGGACAGAGAAACAGAGUGUCCUGGAGAGAAGAGUCACAGGGAGUUGCUGACUGUCAUUCCAAGUGGGUGCUAGGUGAAGCCAUCUGACCAGGCGAGGCAUGAAAGGGCAUCUGUAAAGAAGGAGGCUCUGGGGGAAGGCCUCUGUGACUGAACGCAGGCAAUGACUGACUCGACUCCUUGGAGCUGGGUGUGGAGUGGAUGUCCAGCACCAUAUCAGAAGAACUGGCAGAGGCAGGACUGGGAGCUGUUGAAUCUGGAACAACAAAAGGACUGGUGGCUGGAUCCUAUUCAGCUGGCUAAAAGUAGGCAAGUCAGGAGCAGGAGGAAGGAGGGAUGGCUGGUGGAACUGGUAGAUGCUGGCAGCAGCUGUUGUGACCAAUAAAGGAUGAUAAAUCAAGCACAGAGGAACCCUCGGGAAGGAGAGAGUCUGUUCAGGCACAGAGCUGGUUUCAUUUUAAAUCUGCAAUCACCAGAGAAGUUCUUUUUAAAAAUUUUUAGGGUACAUUUCAGAAUUGUAAGCUUUGACUAAUUAGUUCCCCUUCUGACUCCCUACGUGGAUGUUUUGUUCCCUUGUCUGGUGAUGAAAGAGACAGACAAAGAUGAGGAGCCCAUGUUGAUAGAGGCCCGGUCAGGUGCUUGCUCUUGGGAACAAAGGUCUAUCUUAGCAAUAGGUGUAAGUAUAUUUUCUCAGGCCAAGUCAGUGACUCCUUAAAGGGGUUUGAGUCUCCUCUGAGCCAUAUGCGAGACCUUGGAAUUGCAGGACAAGCCUACUGGAACUCCAUAGUCAAAGCUGUGGUUUACACAAAUGACCAUCCAAAGCAGCUGUAUUCACUAGGGAUGUCAUAUAUUGACUCACACAUUCAUUCAGAGGUUAAAAUAUUCCACCCCCACCCAGAAAACAGAAACUGAAGCAGAGGUGAUCAGGCUUCUUUUCUGUCCUUGACUUGGGACAAGAUGACUCCCAGGCAAACAGAAAAACCCCGGAUGGCCUUACUGUAAUUCAGAAGUCCAUAUGGUUUCCUUUCAUUCUCCUUUAGAGCUGGUGAUGAGGGGUGUCUUUGUUCAGUCCAUAUCCCAGAAGCUGAAUAAGGACCUCAAAAGUCAGGCAUAGGGGUGCACCUCUUGUCUGAGUGUUACCAGGUUAUAGAGUGUGGGAGACCCAUCUCUGUGACACAUUGCAAGGGCCACAUAGGGCUGUAUCUGUCUUUUCUCAUUUCCCAGCCGAACACACUAGAAAGUGUGGGAAAAAUUGAGUCAACUGUAUGCAGGAGUUCAGGAGAAGAAAGGAAAUUUUAAUGAUUCUGGUGGGGCCCAGAGGAG
RNAcentral lists this long non-coding RNA (1484 nucleotides) under Chinchilla lanigera (long-tailed chinchilla). Its description in RNAcentral is "lncRNA (ENSCLAG00000025086.1)". The record is from RNAcentral. Lineage: Eukaryota; Metazoa; Chordata; Mammalia; Rodentia; Chinchillidae.